This is a non-coding RNA of Ictidomys tridecemlineatus (thirteen-lined ground squirrel), 72 nucleotides long. NCBI's taxonomy places the organism in Eukaryota, Metazoa, Chordata, Mammalia, Rodentia, Sciuridae. The record is from Rfam.
UGGGUUGUAGCUCAGUGGCAGAGCACUCGUCUAGUAUGUGUGAGGCACUGGGUUCGAUUCUCAGCACCACAU